ACAUCUUUGCCUAGUUCCUCUGUUCUGUUACUAAUUUCGAAUGGCCUCAUGUUUCCAGCAUUGUUAAUACACUCUUUUUUUUUUUUUUUUUUUUUUUUACAGUGAAGGGCCUGUCUAAUAAGAAAUGGCAGAAUGAUGGUUUCGAGGCAACACUUAAGUUAUCUGUGGAUGAAUCCUUUGCUGAAUCACCUUCACUGGAUAAGACAGGACAUACAAUGGUUCUAUAUAUAUGCUGUGCACAUUACUUCCAUGGAAGCCUGAAGAGACUGUGCCCUUGUCAGAACAUGAUAAGCUGCAGAGUGCCUCCUGAUAUGCAAGAAAGAUGUUGGGUCCAGGAUUUGACUUGCAAGUUGUGAUCAACUUAAUUCCUCUGUGAUAUUCAGUAGUAUGCAUCUCAAGACUAAGAAGUUGAUACAAAGCAGACUUCAUCAGUCAGUGCUGCUGUUACUGCGUGGCAGCCCCUGCUCUUCUAAUGUUCUAGAACUGGGUGGACAAUUUCCG
RNAcentral lists this long non-coding RNA (501 nucleotides) under Phasianus colchicus (ring-necked pheasant). RNAcentral's name for it is "lncRNA (ENSPCLG00000016988.1)". Lineage: Eukaryota; Metazoa; Chordata; Aves; Galliformes; Phasianidae. The record is from RNAcentral.